GGGCCCAUAGCUCAGUGGCAGAGCGGCCGGCUCAUAACCGGUUGGUCCCUGGUUCGAGUCCAGGUGGGCCCA
This 72-nucleotide transfer RNA is filed under the name Chloroflexota bacterium. RNAcentral describes it as "Chloroflexi bacterium (marine sediment metagenome) tRNA-Met". It matches the Rfam family "tRNA". From Rfam's summary of the family: Transfer RNA (tRNA) molecules are approximately 80 nucleotides in length. RNAcentral also lists the same sequence under 2 other names. Lineage: Bacteria; Bacillati; Chloroflexota. The record is from RNAcentral.